CUUUAUUUUUAUCUCCUGCUGUCCCAUGAAAAUAUAUUUAGUGGGAGAAGUUCUUCUGACCCUGCAUGAAAAUUCCCACAGACCUACAAAUUUUUUUUCACUCUAGGAAAAUAAAAAGUUCUUUAUACCUUUGUUGACAAAAAAAAAAAAGCCAAAUUCUGUAAAAUAUUUGAAGAAAUUUAUUCUCAGCCAAAUGUGAAGACCAUGGCCCAUAACACAGCCUCUCACACUGCUAAUAAAGACAUACUCAAGACUGGGUUUGUAAAGGAAAGAAGUUUAAUUGACUCACAGUUCAGCAUGCCUGGGGAGGCCUCAGGAAACUUACAAUCAUGGCAGAAGGGGAAGCAAACAUGUCCUUCUUCAUAUGACAGCAGGAAGGAAAAGAAUGAGUGCCCAGCAAAGGCAGAAGCCCCUCAUAAAACCAUUAGAUCUCAUGAGAACUCACUCACUAUCAUGAGAACAGGAUGGGGGAAACCAGCCUCAUGAUUCAAUUAUCUCCACCUGGUCCCUCUCAUGACACAUGGAGAUUACGGGAACUACAAUUUAAGGUGCUAUUUAGGUGGGGACACAGCCAAACCAUAUCAUUCUAUCCCUGGCCCCUCCCAAAUCUCAUGUCCUUACAAUUUAAAACACAAUCAUGCCCUUCCAAAAGUUCCCCAAAGUUUUAACUCAUUCCAGCAUUAAUUCAAAAGUCCAAGUCCAAAGUCUGAUCUGAGACAAGGCAAGUCCCUUCCACCUGUGAGUCUGUAAAAUCAAAAGCAAGUUAGUUUCUUUCUAUAUACAGUGGGGAUACAACAGGCAUUGGGUAAAUACACCCAUUCCAAAUGGGAGAAAUUGGCCAAAACAAAGGAACCACAGGCCCAGUGCAAGUCCGAAAUCUAAUUGGACAAUCAUUCAACCUUAAAGCUCCAAAAUGAUCUCCUUUAACUCCAUGUCUCACAUCCAGGUCACACUGAUGCAAGAGGUAGGCUCCCACAGUGUCAGGCAGCUCUGCCCCUGUGGCUCUGCAGGGUAUAGCUCCCCUCCUGGCUCCUUUCAUGGGCUGGCAUUGAGUGUCUGCAGCUUUUCCAGGGGCACUGCACAAACUAUCAGUGGAUCUACCAUUCUGGGGUCUGGAGGACGGUGGUCCUCUUCUAACAGGUCAACUAGGUUGUGCCUCAGCAGGGACUCUGUUUGGAGGCUCUAACUCCACACUUACCUUCUGCACUGCCCCAGCAGAGGUUCUCCAUGAGGGCCCUGCCCCUGCAGCAAACUUCUCCCAGGGCAUCCAGGUGUUUCCAUAUAUCCUCUGAGAUCUAGGCGGAGGUUCCCAAACCUCAAUUAUUGAUUUCCAUGCACCAACAGGCUCAACACCACAUGAAAGGUGCCAAGGCUUGGGGCUUGCACCUUCUGUAGCAACAGCCUGAGCUGUGCCUUGGCCCCUUUUAGUCAUGGCUAGAGCAGCUGGGAUUCAGGGAACCAAGUCCCUAGGCUGCAUACAGCAUGGGCACCUUGAGCCUGGCCCAUUAAACCACUUUUUCCUCCAAGGCCUCCAGGCCUGUGAUGGGAGGGGCUGCCACAAAGGUCUCUAACAUGCCCUGGAGACAUUUUCCCCAUUGUCUUGAGGAUUAACAUUGGGUUCCUUGUUACUUAUGCAAAUUUCUGCAGCCAGGUUGAAUUUCUCCUCAGAAAAUGGGAUUUUUUUUCUAUUGCAUUGUCAGACUGCAAAUUUUCCAAACUUUUAUGUUCUGCUUUUGUAAUAUAUUUUAUUUCUAAAUGUGAUUUUCCAUUCUAUUACAGUCUGUUAUCCCAAGUGAGGCUCUCAGUAACUCUUACCUGGUAUUCAAUAAAUUUAGACAAAUGCACAUUUGUUUAUACACGUAAUUUUGCAUACAAUUGCAUGAGGCUUACUAUCCUCUAAAAUCCAUCUGUGGGUCUUACAAGUUAAGAACUUCUCUUUUGUAGACCCCUAAAUUGGCUUUGACUGAUAUCUUGAGCAAGGCAAGAUUAUUCAGUAUUUUUUUAAUCACUUCAUAUUUUUGUAUUAUUUUAUAUGUUUAAAUUUAAGAUGUUAUUAAACAUUUUAUUAAGUGCUUAUUUUGCACCAGGAACUACGCCAAGCACUUUGAUUUUGCAUAAAUGAUCUCAUUUGUUCUUACCACAAUCUUCUGAAGUACACCGGAAGUAAACAACAAUAAAAAUAUGAAGUACAUAUUUGUAUUCCCAUUUUACAGAUGAGGAAACAAGUUUAGUCAUAUUGUGUGAAGCCUACUUCACAGUCUGUGGCAGACCUGGACUAAAACUCGGGUCAAUCUCUUAAGGAUGACAUCUCAUUGCCUGUGGGCUUUAUCUUAUGAGCAUAUUCCUAAUCUCCUUGAUUUAGUCAGGAUAGGCUGUAUAUCAUGUGCAGUAACAGAAGAUAAACCUCCAAAUUUCAGUGGCUUUGCACAAUGAAGGUUUAUUACUCUUUCACAUAAAGUCUCAUGUGGGGACUGUGACUUUCCUGCAUCUUAUAGCUAUGCCAUCUGGAAUGUGUGGACUUAAAAGUAGAUGUUUCAAGUGAAGGGGAGAGAAAUGGAAGAAGCACACUAGCUUUUACCUGCCUCAGCCCAGAAGUAAUACAUUAUACAUACAAUUUGGCUUACGGAACCUUAGGAAAUUUUAUCAACUUUAUAACUCUUGCUACCAUUACAGGACGGUGCAUUCUAUUUCAAUGCCAGCUCAAAGAAAUAUAUUUUCCUAAAUAUUAUAUAAGCUCAGCCAUUUUUUUCUAUAUAAUAUUUUUCAGUCUUUUCUUCUCCAUAGCAACCCACAUCUCACGACCUACAGACAGAAUUGUUAUCAGCGGUGUGAGAAAAGGAAAGUUUUUGGUGAUUCUAAUUUGGGCACAUUGGAUAUUCCCUUCUUCUUCUUGUGAAUAUUUGGCUUCUGGUGAGGUAUAACAUCUGCAAUGAACCCAAGAGUCACUUGUGUGCUUCUGCCACCUUAAUGCCAAGUGAGACCUAAAUCUGUGAAUAACCAUCCCCACGUCCAGCAUCUACACAUCAAAAUAACAAGAUUCUAUAAAUCCACCAAAGAAAUUUGAGAAAAAGUUAAACCUCUGUAAUGAUAUACCUGGACAGCAACCACAAAAAGAUAUUACAAAAAGCCCAAAGGUAAAAACAAACUAUGGAAGUGAUCAAAUGAUCCUAUCCUUCAAUAAGAAAAUACCUGAUUUGGAAAACUGCCUUGCCCAAAUAUAAGCAGGAGAGAAAGACAAGCUGCUACUCUGGAAAUGGUAUGCCUAUAUUAAUCAUGACAAUUCGAUUGGGAUUUUUAUCCUCCUGCCUUUUGUUUUUUUUCUUCCCAACCCUAGUAAAUGACAGCUAUAUUUAUUGAGCAAUAGGCAUGGAAUUAGGGUGUGUAUGUGUGUGUGUGGGGGUUAUGUAUUCUAAACAAUUUCUAAGUGUCCUAGUAACAUGGUAGAUGUCCUCAGCUUGAAGAAUCUCCUUUUGAAGAUUCAGUGAAGGAAAGUUAAGUUUAAGUUAAGUUAUUUCUUCAUAAACCUAUUAAGUUGUGAAGCUAACAUUCAAACCCUGUUUGGGAUCACCUCAAAGGAAGUUAACUUCACCAUAUUCAAAAGGAGUGCACAAGACCUCCUGCAACUCUUCUAAAAGCAUUUCAAAUAGACACAUCUGACUCUGCUCCAUUUGGAACAGUCAAUAUAUGGUAGAAAUAACUAAGGAGAAUGGGGAGACAGGAACCUUGAGGCUUUUUUUGUCUCUUUGUUAGAGUCUUGAAUAACAAUCCAGCCAGGUUACCAAGGAUCACACAAUGUACUCUCCGUGUUCUUGCGUGCUUUCACUUCACCAACUAAUUCAUUCAUUUAACCUUUGGUGGGUUUGUUUGUUAAUUUAUUAACUCAACUUUUUUUUUCUUUUAUUGUUGGCCCUAUUUCUGAAUGCUCUGAUGUUUGCUCCUUCCUUAGACAAACCUCCACACCCAGAGGGACUAUAUUCAAAAGAGGAUUCCUUCCCAGUUCUCUGAGUAAUGAGACCCACCCAACCACACCCAGUUCUCCACUUACUGUGACAACUACUAGUUUUAUCACAGGACCAUAAGGCAAAACCAACUGACAAUAAAACACAUGAAAAAAAAUCGUCUCAUCAACAGAUCGGUUCUAUUUCAAUGGCAAUUUUGCAAAGGGAAGAAGUAGGCUUGAACUCCUGAAGACUCUAAAGCUAGAAAGCUCUGAGUUCAAAUCCUGGUUCCACCAAGUCUCAUUGUGGCAUCUUGAGCAAGUUGUUUAAAUACAAGGCUGUCACUUGUAAUGGGAGGAUAAAGAUGGUACCCAGCCCAUAGGUUAAAAGAGGGUUCUACAGGAUCAUGUAAAAUACUUAGAACACAUGACAAGACACAUAUCAGUCACUGUUAGGCUCCAGUGAGAGGAGGAGGUGAAGAUACACAAAGCAGAAUAAUGUCAAGAGUAGCGAUUGGGUUACUCUUGAGGGAAUGUAGGGGAGAAAACUUAUCUUUUUCUUCUGCCCAUCUUGGGUUCAUUGGCUGGCACCCCUGUAACAAAAGACAGAUUACAAAGAGAAAAGCAUGCAUACUUACUUAAAGUUUUAUGUAGCAAGGGGGCCUUCAUUAGGAAGUGAAGUUCAAUUAGUUAAACCUGAAUGUUUUGUAGUGAGGUGGAUGAAGAAUGGAGAGUUGUAGAAAAAUAUGAGAGAAGGAAAAUAAACAGUAUGAACUAAGAGUAAUAAGCUGGGGGAAAAGCAAGACCUGUUCAUUCAGAUUCCUCUUGGUGUCCCUCAUCUUGGAGACAAGGAUAUUCCUUUCCUCCAGGCAUAAGAAGGGCAUUUCUCAUAUGAGGGUCUUAGGACCUGCUUUGGGGGAGAAAGAAGGGGAAAGGUCAGAGAGACCUUCUUGCACAUGCUGUUUCUCAAUUUCCUUCAGCCUAAAAUAUUCAAUAUGCCAAGGUGCCGUAAGUUAGGGUAGCCUGUCCUGAACCCCUGAGGGACAUAGAGUGAGGAACAUAGAGUGAUUGCCAAUACGCCUGCUCCAAACUGAUUUGGAAAGUUGGGUCUUGCCGUGUAUCCCCUAAAACUGAUAGUCUCCUUGUAGAGAAGAGACAUUCAGCAUCUCUACCAUAAGAUGAAGUAAAAGUUUAUAAAUUGCUCCUUGCUCUCUUUUUUCCUGUAUGAACAAGACUUACCAAAAAUCCCUGAAUCUUUCUGGCUGGAUAUUUUUUGUUUGACAAAUUUUGGACCAAACUCACUCUUUCAUCCAAAUUUAUUAGCUUGCAAAACCCAGGCUACAUUCAUGAUGGAAAGAGCUUGAGGGCUCAAGGGCUUGAAGCCUUCAUGUCCUCACGCGUUAUUCUCAUCCUUCUAAGUCUGAGGCUACGUGCGGCAACAAUCCUGAGCUAGGAUAUUCAGAGGACCAUCCUUUCAUGCUACUGGAGAAAGUGACUUUCCCAAGUUUGUCAUUGCUGGGUCAUGAUAGCCAGCUUGGGCUUUUGCCCACACAACUGCUCAGUGCUUAUGCUUGGCUGCUUGCCCUCUUCUCCAUGGCUGUGAUCUGCCCAGCCAACACCCUGCUUAAUUUAGGCCCCACUGAAGUGAGAGCUUCACAUGGAACUACUCUUUCUAUUUAUGUGAUGGCUUUUUAAGCUCAAUCUUGAUAUGCUGACUUCUGAGAGAUUCUCAUUCUUUGACUUAACAAGAUAGAAGCCUCCAUGUUUAAAGUAACAACUGCUGGUUCUUGUUUUGCAAACUGCCCCCACAUAGCCCUCUGAACAGAGCAGGGUAGGGAGCAUUCGUGAGGCAAGGCAAGGUGUGAGCAGACCGGCUGAGGGGAGCCCCCUCUUCCUCCCUCCAUCCCAAUCCUUCUUUAUCUGUUUAUAUAUUGUGCUUCAAAACAGGUUUUCAGUUGAAAGGGGGUUAUAAAAAAGGUUGACUACUUCUGGCCUGAACUGACUGCCCUAUUAAAUAGGCCUAAAAGUUUCAGAGUGGUAUGAUUUGGUGCUUUGGGGAAGCCUUUGCCUACCAACCUUGUUUCUCAAACUGGAGACCAUGAAUUUGGCUUCACCCCAUCUUCCUUUAUUCAAAAGAUGAUUACUAAGAAUAGAUUCCAUCGAGGUGAAUCUAAGCAUAACAGGACACCUUGAAACCUUCUCCAAACAAGACUAAGUAAUAUAGAUCCGCCUUAUGUUGCGUGAAUGUCUUAAUCCUGGAUUGCAGGUGCCAGAUUUAGACCUCCCAGAUCCUGUAAAAAGUAUCUUCCAGGAGUCUUUAUGGGUCUCAUAUCUGCCUUGGCAGCCCAGAAAUCCCUGAGGCAGCCUCGCUGUAUAAGUUAGACUCUGAAAAACCCUCAGGGUUACGAAAAACAACUUGGUCAUGUCAUUUAGUAAAUGUAACACUAAGCAGAUGUUUUCCCCAUUCACCAAUAGAUUAUCACAUUUUUAAAUUUCCCAUUUCUCUCAAAGAAGGAUAGGCCCCAUAGAAGAGAUAAUAAGCUCAGUUUCAUACUCCACUAAAAUUACAAAAAAAAACAGAGGGUAUGCAGAGCAAUAGCUUAAUAAAAUUAAUAAGCACAUGACCUUUUCCUGAUUUCUGCCCACCCAUUCCCUCAAUACAGGUAAAUGCCAGUGAUUUCCUGGUUUUUUUUAGAGAUAGGUUUUCACUCUGUCACCCAGGCUGGAGUGCAGUGGCAUGACCGUGGCUCAAUGCAGCCUCAAAUUCUUGGGCUCAAGUCAUUCUCGCACCUCAGCCUCCUGAGUAGCUCGGACUGCAGGCACAUACCACCACACUAGGCUAACUUUUGUAUCUAUUUGUAGAGAUGGGGCCUCACUAUGUUGUCCAGGCUGGUCUCAGACUCCUAUACUCCAGCGAUUCUUAUGUCUUGACCCCCCAGCAUGCCAGGAUUACUGGUGUGAGCCACUACACCCAGCUGCCAGCAACGUUAAUGAGCCCUCAAUAUACCACAGUCUCCUCUACCUUCAAGUCACCCUGAUUUUGGCAGUGGUUCUCAAUUAUCCAGGGAUUGGGGAGAAGGUUAAACAAUUGGCAAUGUCUGGAGACAUUUUUCGUGGCCACAACUGGAUGAGGAAUGCUAUUGUCAUUUAGUGGGUCAAGGCCAGGGAUGUUGCAAAAACAUCCUCUAAAGCACAGGACUGUCCCAAACAACAAAGACUUAUUUGGCCCAAAAUUUCACUAGUGUGAAAGUUAAGAAACCUUGCUCUAAAGGAAAGAAGCCUGAAAGGUGGUUUCUAUGGCCAUGUGCUGUCAAGUUUGACUUGAAUUACCAAGUUGUUCACCCUCUGCAUGCAUAAAUUUGACUUUGCUCAUGAAAGCUUUCAUAAAGAAUCUCAGCCAGAACAAGCCAUUGUUCCUUUCACUGGAUUUCAUAGAACUUUAAAAUGAUUAAUGUUAGUAUUAUAAUCAUUAUUAUCUCCAUUGAAUGUCAAAUAUUUUACAUAGUCAUUUAUUCUAAAACCUUUUUAUAUGCCUUUAACCUUUUUCUUAUGCCUGCUAUGUAUGAGAAAAAGUACUCAGAGAUGGGACUAUAGAGAUCCAGAUGAUGAGUUUCCUGAUCUUAAGAAGCUUAAGGCAAAUAGAUGCUGUAUUAGUUUGCUAUGGCUGCAGUAACAAAUUGCCACAAAUUGGGUGGCUCAAACAGAAAUUUUUUAGAGACAGUCCUGGAGGCUCUCAGUCCUGGAGGCUGGAAGUUCAAGAUCAGGGUUAGAUCCUCCAGAGGGCUGUGAGGGAGAAUUGGUUCCAGGACCCCUCCUAGCUUCUGGUGGUUCACUGGCAAGCUUUUGUGUUCCUUGGCUUGUGGAAGCAUCAUCCCAAUCUUUACCUUCUUCUAAGGCCACAGUCAUAUUGGAUUGGGGCCUACCCUAACAACCUCAUCUAAACUUAACUAAUAUCAUCUGCAACGGUCCUGUUUCCAAAUAUGGUCACGUUCUGAGGUGCUAGGGUAUAAGAAUUCAGCAUAUGAUUUUGGAAGGGGAUGCACAAUUUAUUUAUUUAUGCUUAAUUUUUAAUUUUAUUUUAUUUUUCCAUAAGUUAUUGGGGUAUAGGUGGUAUUUGGUUACACGAGUAAGUUCUUUAGUGGUGAUUAUGAGAUUUGGUGCACCCAUCACCCAAGCAGUAUACACUGUACCAUAUUUGUAGUCUUUCAUCAGUCACCCCCUCUCACUCUUCCCCUCAAGCCCUCAAAGUCCAUUGUAUCGUUCUUAUGCCUUUGCAUCCUCAUAGCUUAGCUCUCACAUAUCAAUGAGAACAUAUGAUGGUUUGUUUUCCAUUCCUGAGUUACUUCAAUUAGAAUAAUAGUCUCUAAUCUCAUCCAGGUCACUACAAAUGCUGUUAAUUCAUUCCUUUUCAUAGAUGAGUAGCAGUCCAUUGUGUAUACAUAUAUAUCACAGUUUCUUUAUCCACUCGUUGAUUGAGGGGCCUUUGGGUUGGUUCCACAAUUUUGCAAUUGUGAAUUGUGUUGCUAUAAACAUGCAUGUGCAAGUGUCUUUUUCGACUAAUGACUUCUUUUCCUCUAGGUAGAUACCCAGUAGUGAGAUUGCUGGAUCAAAUAGUAGUUCUACUUUUAGUUCUUUAAGGAUUCUCCAUACUGUUUUCCAUAGUGGCUGUACUAGUUUACAUUCCCAUCAGCGGUGUAGAAGUAUUCCCUGAUCACCGCAUCCACGACAACAUCUACCAUUUUUUUAUUUUUUUAUUAUGGCCAUUCUUGCAGAAGUAAGGUGGUAUCACAUUGUGAUUUUAAUUUGCAUUUCCCUGAUCAUUGGUGAUGCUGAGCAUUUUUUCAUUUUUGUUGGCCAUUUGUAUAUUUUCUUUUGGGAAUUUUUCUAUUCAUGUCCUUAGCCCACUUUUUGAUGUGAUUGUUUGUUUUUUUCUUAAUGACUUGAGUUUGUUGUAGAUUCUGGAUAUUAGUCCUUUGUCAGUGUAUAGAUUGUGAAGAUUUUCUCCCACUCUAUGGGUUGUCUGUUUACUCUGCUGACUGUUUCUUUUGCCGUGAAACAGCUCUUUAGUUUAAUUAGGUCCCAGCUAUUUAUCUUUGUUUUUAUUGCAUUUGCUUUUGGGUUGUUGGUCAUGAAAUCCUUGCCUAAGCCAAUGUCCAGAAGGGUUUUUCCAAUGCUAUCUUCUAGAAUUUUUAUAGUUUCAGGUCUUAGGUUUAAGUCCUUAAUCCAUCUUGAGUUGAUUUUUGUAUAAGGUAAGAGUUGAGGAUCAAAUUUCAUUCUCCUACAUGUGUCUAGCCAAUUAUUCCCAGCACCAUGUGUUGAAAAGGAUGUCCUUUCCCCACUUUGUGUUUUUGUUUGCUUUGUUGAAGAUCAGUCGGCUGUAAGUAUUUGGGUUUAUUUCUGGGUGCUCUUUCUGUUCCAUUAUGCCUAUUUUAUACCAGUACCAUGCUGUUUUGGUGACUAUUGCCUUAUAGUAUAGUUUGAAAUCAGAUAGUGUGAUGUCUCCAGAUUUAUUCUUUUUGCUUAGUCUUGUGUUGGCUAUGAAGGCUCUUUCUUGGUUCCAUAUGAGUUUUAGAAUUGUUUUUUCUAACUCUGUGAAGAAUUAUGGUAGUAUUUUGAUGAGGAUUGUGAUGAAUUUGUAAAUUGCUUUUGGGAGUACGGUCAUUUUCACAAUAUUGAUUCUACCCAUCUAUGAGCAUGGGAUGUGUUUCCAUUUGUUUGUGUCAUCUAUGAUUUCUUUCAGCAGUGUUUUGUAAUUUUCCUUGUAGAGGUCUUUUGACUCUUUGAUUAGGUAUAUUCUUGAGGUUUUUUUUUUCUUUUUUUUUUUGCAGCAAUUGUAAAAGGAGUUGAGUUCUUUAUUUGAUUCUCCGCUUGGUUGCUGUUGGUGUAUAGAAGAGCUACUAAGUUUGUGUACAAUAACCUUGUACCUGGAAAUUUUGCUGAAUUCUUUUACCAGUUCUAGGAGCUUCCUUAGGGUUUUCAAGGUAAACAAUCAUAUCAUCAGCAAAUAGGGACAGUUUGACUUCCUCUUUACCAAUUCAAAUGCCCUUUAUUUCUUUAUCUUGUCAAUUGCUCUGGCUAGGACUUUCAGUACUAUGUUGAAGAGGAGUGGUGAGUGUGGGCAUGCUUGUCUUGUUCCCGUUCUCAGAGGGAAUGCUUUCAACUUUUCCCCAUUCAGUAGUAUGUUGGCUGUGGGUUUGUCAUAGAUGGCUUUUAUUACAUUAAAAUAUGUCCCUUGUAUGCCGAUUUUGCUGAGGGUUUUAAUUAUGAAGUAUGCAGGAUUUGGUCGAACACUUUUCUUGUAUCUAUUGAGAUGAUCAUGUGAUUUUUGUUCUUAAUCCUGUUUAUGUGGUGUCUCACAUUUGUUGACUUGUGUAUGUUAAACCAUCCCUGCAUCCCUGGUAUGAAACCCACUUGAUCUUGGUGGAUUAUCUUUUUGAUAUGUUGUUGGAUUCUGUUAGCUAGUAUUUUGUAAACGAUUUUAACAUCUAUGUUCAUCAAGGAUAUCGGUCUAUAGUUUUCUUUCUUGGUUGUGUCUUUUCCUGGUUUUGGUAUUAGGGUGAUGUUGGCUUCAUAGAAUGAGUUAGGGAGGGUUCCUUCUUUCUCUAUCUUGUGAAAUAGGGGACACACAAUUUAAUCCACAACAGAUGGGUAAACUGACUAUUGUAGUUCUGUAAUUAUAACACAAAGCAGUAAGUUCUAUGAAAGAGGGCAGUACAAACCAUGGAGGAGGGGUGCCUAACGCAGACUUAUCCCACAGGGUUAGGAUUAUGAGAGGGGCCUGAAUUCUGCUAAGAUGUUUGUGUCAUUAAAUGAUAACCAGCCAUUGUUCUGGAGGUCACAAGAUUUAUAACUUCCCCAGUGACUCCUGUAGAUAACAUCACUAUUGUAGAACCAGAGAUUCACUUUUUGAGGUGUCUUUUCAGACUUUUUCAUUUCUGAGGACUGGCUAACUCCACCCAAACCCACAACUCAUGACUUAACCAGUCCUGUGGCCCAGAGGCUGACUCAGUGAACAUUUUCCACACCCCUAAGGUUGCAUCCCCAACCAAUAAUCAUUCCCCAUUCCCUAUCCCCCUGUCCAUCAAACUAUCCUUGAAAAGUCCUAGCUUCUGAGCCUUUGGGGAGAUUGAUUUGAGUAAUAACUCCAUCUCCUAUAAGGCCGGCCUCAUAUCUAUUACACUCUUUCUUUACUGCAAUACCACUGAAAUUGAACCAAUUCAAUUCUCAGUGAAUUGAUUUUGUCUGUGCAGUACACAGGAAGAACCCAUCAGAUGAUUGCAGAAGAAAGAAAAAUAAAAAUUAAGAAGGGUAUGAUUUGGGGGAACUUCUUCCAGUGGGGCCUGUAAUGAUAGUAUACAACUCUCUGGACACAAAGGUGAACUCCAGUCUCUUGCUUGGAGAAGAACAAUUGCCCAUCCUUCUUACUCAAUGUUUUUCCUAGGUUUGGACACAGAAUUCAUUCCAGCAUAGAGUCCAUCCUAAGGCAUGAUUCAGUGAGCCAAUAAAGUUUGCAUCUGUGUCUCUGACCCUCACACACACCAAAAGAUCCUGACUAAUUCUCCUCCCUCCCCACCUGCACAGACACACUCAAAUAGGAAAUAUUCUCUUAUUUUAUAUAUUUUAAUUUUAUGUAAUAUACAUUAUUAUACAUAUAUAAUAUGUAUAAUGUAUAAGUAUAUUAUAUACUUAUAUAUUAUAAAAAUAUAGUUUACAUUUGUAAUAUAUAUUUAUUUUGUAUAAUAUAUAUUUUAUAUUUAUACAUAUAUAUAUAUAUUUUUUGAGACAGAGCCCACACUGUUGCCUGGGCUAGAGUGUAGUGGCACGAUCUCAGCUCACUGCAACCUCUGCCUCCCAGAUUCAAGAGAUUCUCCUGCCUCAGUUUCCCGAGCAGCUGGGAUUACAGAUGCCCGCCACCACACCCAGCUAAUUUUUUGUUUUUUUAGUAGAGACAGGGUUUCCCCAUGUUGGCCAGGCUGGUCUCAAACUCCUGACCUCAUGAUUUGCCCGCCUUGGCCUCCUAAAGUGAUGGGAUUACAGGCGUGAGCCACCGCACCCGGCCUGUAUUCAUAUAUAUAUAUAUAUGGAAGUACAGGCUCCAAAGCCCCCAUACUAUUUCCUGUUUCCUCUCCCUUGCACUGGUACAUGUUUGAUAUAUACAACUUUUCAAUAUUUUGGCAGCUUCACCUGUGAUUUUUUUUUAAUAAAAAAAGAAGGGGCAGGAGGUGACAGUAAUCAUCACAAUUUAUUUUUUCUUGUCACAUGAAAAGAAACAAAUCUUUGUGAAAUAAUUUAAUACUUUGAAGGGUGACCCAGAAACACAAGUAAUGGCUAUCAAUGCCUCUUCCAGCCAGUGAAGCUACAAGAACAAGGGAGUCCAAUGCUUCUUUUGAAGAAAGCUUUAAAUUCAUGGCACUAUUUUGGAAUAUGAGAAAAAUAUUUUAAAAUGCAUUUCUUGGCCUCUCUUGUUUUGUUUUGUUUCCUUCCUGCUGCUCUUGGGGAGUAUUAAUAAAAGAGAUGGGAUAAGUGAAAAACACAAGACAGAGAACUAUUUAUUUUUUUUCAGUUUUUUUGCCACUGAAAUGAAAAGAUUAUAAUAAUAAUAGUCACCAUUUAUUAAACUCUGCUAAGCACAUCAUGGCCUGAUUCAAUCCUUUUAGCAUCAUACAAGGAAGUUAUUAUCUCCCCUUUACAGAGAAGGCUGUGGCUGGGGAGGUAGGGGUUGAGAACUUGCCUGAAGUCAUAGCACAUCCUAGCUGCUAGGAACUAUUUUCUGAGCUAGGCUCUUCACACUGACCAUCUUAUAAAGUCUCUCACAGCAUCCCUGGAAUAAAUGCAUUAUUGUCAACAUUUUUAUAACUUACAAAAGGCUAAGUGGUAAAUUGAGGGUAGAAUUCAAACUGAGGUCUUUCCAACUCCAAAACAUGUGCUGUGAUGACCGUGCCAUAAACUUUCUCGUACCUUGUCAGAACAAAUGUACUGAAACUACCAUAGUUUCAGAACUGUAAUAAUCGAUGCAUAGUCCCCAUUGGUAGAUUUAGUGUUUUACAAUAGAGUUUCUGAAAAGCAGUUUUAAAAUACCCUUCAGCAAGCAUUUACUGAGGCCUCGUCUAGGCCAGGACUUGGGCUGGACAUUGCAGGCAUGGCCACAGUAACGAUGACUCAGAACUUGCCCCCAAGGAGUUCACAGUCUGGGAGCAUUGGGGAGAGGAGCAGAAAGUAAACUAGAGAGCACAAAACACAAAGUCACACUCUUGUAUAACAUACACUCAGUAAAAAGGAGGCCCACUAGAGCAGGGUUUCUCAACCUGGCACUAUUGCAUUUGGGGCUGUCUGAGUCUUGCUGUGGGGGCUGCCUGUGCAUUGUGGGGUAUUAGCAGCAUCUCUGAAUUCUACUCAGUAGAUACCAGUAGCCCCCCCACAACCAAAAAUGUCUCUGGACAUUGCCAAAUGUCUCCUGAGGUUGGGGGAGUGAGAAUCACUGCCCCACAGUUACAUCCUGGCAGAGUUAAGCAAUGAAACAAAAUCACUGGCCAUUAAUAAUACUAUAUGAUUUUCAAUUAAGAGCUUAUUUACACACCAAGUACCUUAGAAACCUGAUCUCAUCCCAUCCUCAUCAAAACCUUAUGGUGUGUACAAGCUGGAAUGAUGCCUAUUUUAUAGGUUAGGGCACUGAGGCACAAAGAGUUUAGUGGAUGCCUAGCUGCACAGUAGUGACCGAUAGAGCAGGCAUUUGAAGCCUGCCCUGCCAUCUUAGUCAGUGCACCGAGAUAUGAAGAGCAUUUUUAAAGUGUGCUAGGCUCUUUCAUUUUCAUUACAUGUCCACUGAUAUGGUUUGACUCUGUGUCCCCACCGAAAUCUCAUGUCGAAAUGCAAUCCCCACAUGUUGGAGGAGGGACCUGGUGGGAAGUGAUUGGAUCAUGGAGGUGGAUUUCCCUCCUACUGUUCUCGUGAUAGUGAGUGAGUUCUCAUGAGAUCCAAUGGUUUAAAAGUGUGUGGCACUUCCUCCCUUCACUCUCUCUCUCUCUCCGGCCACCAUGUGAAGAUAUGCGUGCUUCCCCUUCACCCUUCUGCCAUGAUUGUAAGUUUCCUGAGGCUUCCCCAGCCAUGCCUCCUGUACAGCCUGUGGAACUGUGAGUCAAACCCCUUUUCUUCACAAAUUACCCAGUCUCAGGUAGUUCUUUAUAUCAGUGUGAGAACAGACUAAUACAUCCACAGGCUGACCUAAUCUAAAAUUAGCAACACAAAGGAAUGAAUAUUUAUAAUUGUAUACAGUGUUAUCCUUUGUGAAUAUUCUAUCUUAUCCAUUCUGGACCUAAUUAAUCUAGUUUAUUUUGGAUGAUUUGCUUAUGGGAGUCUUGCUUUAACCAGGGAAAAUAUUUAUUAAUUCUGAAGAAUGUAGUAAGUUUCAUAUCUUGAUUUAUAUUUUGGCAGUUCAACCAUGCACUGUGUGGGGGCCAAAAAAAUCCCUAAAAAUAAUCAUAUGAUAUUGGCUAAGACCAAAUGCAGCCAGUUAUUUCUGUUGGUAUGUCUUAAUGAGGGAAAAAGGCAGAGCUGGAUGCCUCUUCUUUCUUAAAUUAAAAACAAAACAAAAUAAACAAGCAAAAAAAACUUCAAGAGACUUCAAAGGUCAGUAGAAAGUUUUCGUUUAAAUUGCCAAUUGUACAAUUUGAGGAAUGCAAGUAAACUGCCCUCAAAUAACUUUUCUAGGUAUUUUUCAAAAAAUUCUAAAGGGAAUAUUUGCUUUCUAGGCAAGGUUUUUAAAUAUUUCAUUAUCUAGGCUUAGAUAGCUUGGAUAGAAUAGUUAUUAUUUUAUAUUCAAUCUUUUACUUUAGCAGACUAUUAGGAUAUGCUUGUUGUGACUCAGUUUUUUGUAUCUACCAUCUGUUGGUUUAUUACCCAAAUCUAUAAGUAAACAUCAACAUAGGAAGCUUUACUGUCACUGAAGCUUUAUUAAAUAAAUGAGUUUAAUUGUGGAUUGUUAUCUGUGAAGUCAGGACCUGGGAGAGAAAAAAGCUACCAGCAACAUUCAGACUGAGAGAGGCCAAAAUACUAAUUCAUAAUUAGCCUGGUACAUAUGAAGGAUCAAAAAGAACAGGACUGUAUGUCUGACCUCUGACAGGUAUGUAUCAGUGUACACAGCCACGCCAGAUGAUGUCAGGUGGUGUGCUGUGGUCUCAAUGACUUGGUUUGAAGGAAGAAUCACUUGUAGGUUGGACACUGUUUAUAUGCCUGGCUCAAGUUUGCCCUUGUAACCAUUUAAGCGGAAACAAAGGAGAGCCAGAUCUGCUAGUUAGUGUAAUAAACCUCCCACAAGAAGAAGGGAGACUGGCCAACUUAAAAUGCAAGGCAAGUUAUUUUCAUGCACUUGUAAAUUACAUUAUGAAUAAGUGUUGGGAAACAUUGGGCUGAUAAAAAAUUUACAAUUGAUAUCUUCAAUUACUACAUGAAGCAAAUAUGAAGUAAAGAACCAACCUGAAUGUAAUCACACUAUAGAUAUUUCACAUAUUUCCACAACUGUUUCCACUAAUUCUGACAGAAUGUCCCCCAUUCACCACAAAUAUGUUUGCCCUAUAUUAAAAUAAUAAGCUAUUUAAAUAACAAGCCUUGUGUUCCUGUAUGCAUAGAAAAUGGUUCAAUUCUUUCUGGCUCAAAUCCUUUAUAAGCAAUCAAACAUCCUACCCCAUUGUCAAUCUGGCCAUCUCCUACUCAUCUUUUUAGGUUUAUACUUAAAUGUCACUUUGAUAAUGGUUUAUUCCCUAACCUCUUAAUUGUAAUUAAGUCCCCAUAUACAUUCCCUCUUCAAAUUUGCACAUUUUAUUCCAAGCAUUUAUAGCAAUUUAUAAUUUUAUGUGUGUGCUUAUUUCUUUAAUGCCUGUCUUCUCAUUUAAUAUCUUUUCUACCCCUGUAUAUCCAGGCCCUACCACCAUAGUAGAGACUCAGUAUGUAUACUUAAUGAAGGAAUAAUGAAUACAUCAGCAAGAGAAAUAAGAGUGACCAUAUGUUCCUUAAGAGAAGCAAAGAGCAGCUCCUGUUCCUGGAUCUUAAGAAAAAUCAAGAAACCAAGUUGAGAAACUAAGAAAAAAAGAAAAACUGUUUACUUCUCCCAUAAUUAUUAAAGACUAACAAUCAACGUGGAGGCAUUACUGGUUAGAAGGAGUUCACUGAUGUCUAGUUGAAAGCAAGACAUUUGGUGGCUGGAGGUUAAGGCCAACAUUUCCAGGAACCUAAACAAGACAUAGAGGAGAAAAGCAAGAACCAUCUCAUCAGUCAGUCUUGCUAUAACUGUUGUCUUGUUAUGAACAGUUGCUCAUGGCCCUGUCUGCUGCUACUGGGAGUUUGCGCUGUCGCCCCAAGCUGGAGUGCAAUGGAGCGAACAAGGAUCACUGCAACCUCUACCUCCUGCGUUCAAGCGAUUCUCCUGCCUCAGCCUCCUGAUUAGCUGGGAUUACAGGCGUCUGCCACCACGCCCAGCUAAUUUUUGUACUUUUAGUAGAGAUGGGGUUUGACCAUGUUGGCCAGGCUAGUUUUGUACUCCUGACCUCAAGUGCUGGGAUUAUAGGCAUGCGCCACAACGCCCAGCCUUGAAAAGAUAACAUUGGAAAAACUCUUCUGGACAUUGGCUUAGGCAAAUUCAUGACAAAGACCCCAAAAGCAAAUGCAACAAAGACAAAAAUAAAUAAAUUGAAUAAAUUAGAGCUAAUUAAACUGAAAAGCUUCUGCAGAGCAAAAGAAAUAAUCAGCACAUUAAAGAGAAAACCCACAGAGUGGAAGAAAAUAUUCACAAAGUAUGCAUCUGACAAAGGACUAGUAUCCAGAAUCUACAAGAAACUCAAACAAAUCAGCAAGAAAAUGACAAUUCCAUCAAAAAGUGGGCAAAAGACAUGAACAGCCAUUUUUCAAAAGAAGAUAUACAAACAGCCAACAAAUGAAUGAGAAAUGUUCAACAUCAGUGAAAUACAAAUUAAAACCACGAUGAGAUACCACGUAACUCCUGCAAGAAUGGCUAUAAUUCAAAAGUUAAAACCAUAGAUGUUGGUGUGGAUGUGAUGAAAAGGGAACACUUACACACUGCUGGUGUGAAUGUAAAUUAGUACAACCUCUAUGAAAAACAGUAUGGUGAUUCCUUAAAGAACUGAAAGUAGAUCUACCAUUUGAUCCAGCAAUCCCACUACUGGGUAUCUACCCAAAGGAAAAGAAGUCAUUACAUGAAAAAGACACAUGUACACGCAUGUUUAUAGCAGCACAAUUCACAGUUGCAAAGAUAUGGAACCGGCCUAAAUGCCCAUCAACCAAUGAGUGGAUAAAGAAAAUGUGUAUAUAUACAACAUGGAAUACUACUAGGCCAUAAAAAAGAACGAAAUAAUUUCUUUUGCAGCAACUUGGAUGGAGCUGGAGGCCAUUAUUCUAAAUGAGGUAACCCAGGAAUAAAAAACCAAAUGCCGCAUGUUCUCACUUAUCAGUGGGAGCUAAGCUGUGAGGACACAAACACAUACAAAGUGAUAUAAUGGACUUUGAUGACUGCAGGGUGGGGAGCUGGGAGUGGGGUGAGGGAUAAAAGAUUACAUAUUGAGUGGGUACAGUGUACACUGCUUUAGUGACAGGUGCACUAAAAUCUCAGAAUUCACCACUAAAGAACUCAUCCAUGUAACCAAAAACCACCUGUACCCCCAAAACUAUUAAAAUUUUUAAAAAUAAAAAAGUUAACUUCUAAACAUUAAAUAUACAUAAUAUAAAGUUUACAUUUUAAAAUUAUUUUUAUUCAGCAAUUGUUUUGUUUUAACACCCCUUCUUUCAAUGUUUUCUACUAUAAAAUGUCAAUGUCAGUUAAAGAUCAUUUUAACAUAUCAUUUUAAAACAUAUCAUUUUGUCCCAAUAUAUUGAUUUAUAAUAAUAAUUUUAAAUCAACUUUCUGUAAAAUCUUAUAGUAGAAAAAUGAUUCAUAGUUUAAUAUUAUGGUCACUUGUUACUAAUUAAAAAUAUGUAAAUAUGUAUUCUUAAAAAUAGAGAAUAAUACCAUUUCAGGAAUUCUGAUUAUUUGUUCUGAAAUUUCAAAGAUUACUAUCUGCUGGGAAUUUGGAAACCCUAUAAUAAUCUAAACCCAGCGACAGUGAAAACCAGGAGGCAGAUGGAGCCCAAAGGAAGAGAUGGAAGGGUCACUCUUGUGUGGCACCUUCCUAUCCUGGCCAGGCGGCAGUGCCUGGGGUAGUCGAAGGGAGCAGCAGUGAGGAUGAGACCUUCAAUUAGAGAAAGGACAAGAAGAGAACGUGGGAAGACCCACACUCGGGCCCACUUUGGUUAAUCCUCCUUAGUUUCCUUGUAAACUAUUAAGGCAGUUAAAUUUUCAACUGCUUGAAUUUACCUAUUUCAAAGAUUCAGCUUUUCACUUGACUUUGAUUGGUCACCAAGAAAAUAUAAGUAUUAUAGCCAUGUUAUUUUCAAAGAGGAAAGCAUGCCAGUCACUAGAACAGUGAGUGGUAUGUAGCAGGCACUCAGAAAACAUGUGUGAUAUGGGUUGAUCUGAGUCCCUGCCCAAAUUUCUUGUCGAAUUGUAAUCCCCAAUGUUGGAGGUGGGUCUGGUGGAAGGUGGUUGGAUCAUGGGGACAGAUUUCUGCCUUUGGUGCUGUUCUCAUGGUAGAGUUUUCAUGAGAACUGAUUGUUUAAAAGUGUGUAGCACCUCCCUCUCUCUCUCUGGCAUCUGCCCUGGCCAUGUAAUAUGUGCCAGCUUCCCCUUCACCUUUCACUGUUAUUGUAUGUUUCCUGAGGCCUCCCCGGAAAUGGAGCAGAUGCCAGAACCAUGCCUCUUGUACAGCCUGCAGAUCCAUGAACCAAUUAAACCUCUUUUCUUUAUAAAUUACCCAGUGUCAGGUAUUUCUUUAUAGCAAUGCAAGAAGGACUAAUACAAUGUGUUAAACUAAUUACUGGAUAAUGCAAUUCACAGAGGAACAGAGAAUCCUUUUACUUGGGACUGGCCAGUUUCCUGUAAGUCAAAAUUAUGCAAAUCCAAUCAAAUUUUCCAUAAAGAAAAUAUUGUGAUUGAAUUUUAGAUUCUUUAUCAUAACCUUGAAAUCCAUACAACCUCUGUAAAAUUUUAAAAGAUUGUGUCUUUUUUUAGCUUCAAUGAAUUGGAGAGUGAAGCAUCUGCUUUAAUGGGAAAUUUCAAAUUUCUUCAGCAAUAUCGUGAGAAUAAUCUCAGCAGAAGUCAAUAGGAGACUCAGAAGCAUAAGAAUACCUCCUAGAAUUUAAAUAUAAGAAAAACAAAUUGAAGUUAAUAGUCUUAUUUUCUCAUUGUAAAGUUGCCUGCUCAUCUUACUGUGUAUAAAAUUGGGAUCCAGUUAUUCAAAAUCAGUGUGUUUUGUGUGUAUUACUCAGCAGAGUAUUUACCAGGUUUACAAGUGUAGAUCACACAUCUAAGUCAAGGCCUGCCUUAUCACUUCUGGUCACCAACUAAUCCUUAAACUUUUUUUAUUCUAAAAAUAAUUGGGAGUAAAACAUCAACAAGUUAGCUGGACAACGUGUUUAAAGCUUUAAAACCUGCCUUGAAAACUGUGAUAGAUCAGUUUGAAUGCCAGGACUGUCGAUUCAAAGUGCCAAAUGUCUGCUAUAAUAAUUCCUAGCACAUAGGGAGUUCUAUGAGCCAGACUCUGCAUCUCAAGCUCUUCAGAGAUUUUAACUCAACCACUUUUCACAAAACCUUGUUUUUUGUGGAAGAAGUGCAAUUACCUUCCAUAUUUUACAGGGGAGGACACUAAGUAUCAGGGACAUGCAUUUUUUCCAGGCCCCAUGGCUAACACAUGGCAAAGCUAGGUCAACUUGGACGUUGGCCUUCAGAGUCAUUGAACCAUAACCCCUCCCCUCCUGCCUGGACAGCCCCAGAGCCGGCACUGCUGAGUCACAGUGACAAGACUUACCCUCUGGCCUUGAACAGCUCAAACUCUAAUGGAGUAAAUAGAUAAAUAAGCCACUGUGAUGAUAAUAAUAAUAAUAAAAAGUUAAAAAUGGCAAGAUAAGACCAUGAAGCAUGUGGUGUAACAAUUCAGGGAGAUGCCAUAGCUUAGCAGAUAAGAGCACAGACUCAGGACUGAGAUGAGUCUCACUCCAGUGCCAGCUGCAGAGGCUCAGCUGCAUCAGUCUCUCUGCUCUUCAGGGGUCUUAGCUGUAAAACAAGAAUGCUCUUCGUGGGAACUCAGAGAAUGGGCAUGUCAGGUAUUCAGAGCAGUCCUGUAGCCCAGAAAGCCUAAGUCAGUACUAUCAUGAUCAUGGAAGAGUAGAUUAUUGAAGCUGACUUAGAAGAACUGGAAAGACUUCUUGAAGGGCUUUAGAUUUCAGCUGAGCCUUGAAACAAGAGUUGUUAUUUUAAAACAGAAACAAAAAGGAAAAACUCCAAUAGUCUGGAUGCAGCCAACAAAGCACCUUCCAGACAACAGAAGCAGCUGGGAAAUGAAACAACAAACAAACAAGGCAAAGCCACAUCUCAGAACAGGGCAUGUUGUAUGGACUCAUGUACUUGGAAAGUGAGGUUCAGGGAAAUUCCAAGUGAAUGGCAGGAAAUAAAGCUGGAAACCUAAGGAAGGACUAGGCCCUAAGGCAGAGAGAGAUUCUUUAAGUACCUCAGCCCAUAGGGACAAAUCAUCGGUUUUCCUUUUACCUAAACGGAAACAUGUUUCUUGUCUUAGAGAAUUAUGUUUUCUUUUCGGUUUAUUUUCUAUUUUAAAUUUAAAAUUUGAAUUGUAAGCCUAUAGGAUCCCAAGAGUUCCAAACUCUAUAUUUUUCUUACUCCUUUAACUCUGCCUUCAGCAUAUGUCAUGGUAAAAUGUAAAUUAACCUAAAUCUAUACAAUAA
RNAcentral lists this long non-coding RNA (20776 nucleotides) under Homo sapiens (human). RNAcentral's name for it is "HSALNT0352776". Lineage: Eukaryota; Metazoa; Chordata; Mammalia; Primates; Hominidae. The record is from RNAcentral.